UACGGAGGGUGCAAGCGUUAGUCGGAAUUACGGGGCGUAAAGCGCGCGUAGGCGGUUUGGUAAGUCGGGUGUGAAAGCCCUGGGCUCAACCUGGGAAUUGCAUUCGAUACUGCCUGACUAGAAUAUGGUAGAGGGAAGUGGAAUUUCCGGUGUAGCGGUGAAAUGCGUAGAUAUCGGAAGGAACACCAGUGGCGAAGGCGACUUCCUGGGCCAAUACUGACGCUGAGGCGCGAAAGCGGGGGUAGCAAACAGG
Molecule: unclassified non-coding RNA, 253 nt
Filed under: uncultured Gammaproteobacteria bacterium
Lineage: Bacteria; Pseudomonadati; Pseudomonadota; Gammaproteobacteria
Description: contains 16S-23S intergenic spacer region
Rfam family: Bacterial small subunit ribosomal RNA
Source: RNAcentral